AGAGUUUGAUCAUGGCUCAGGAUGAACGCUAGCGGCAGGCUUAACACAUGUAAGUCGAGGGGUAGAAGUUUUCGGACUUUGAGACCGGCGCACGGGUGCGUAACGCGUAUGCAAUCUACCUUUUACAGAGGGAUAGCCCAGAGAAAUUUGGAUUAAUACCUCAUAGUAUUAUUGAAUGGCAUCAUUUAAUAAUUAAAGUUCCAACGGUAAAAGAUGAGCAUGCGUCCCAUUAGCUAGUUGGUGUGGUAACGGCACACCAAGGCAAUGAUGGGUAGGGGUCCUGAGAGGGAGAUCCCCCACACUGGUACUGAGACACGGACCAGACUCCUACGGGAGGCAGCAGUGAGGAAUAUUGGACAAUGGGCGCAAGCCUGAUCCAGCCAUGCCGCGUGCAGGAUGACGGUCCUAUGGAUUGUAAACUGCUUUUAUACGGGAAGAAACCCUGGCUCGUGAGCCAGAUUGACGGUACCGUAGGAAUAAGGAUCGGCUAACUCCGUGCCAGCAGCCGCGGUAAUACGGAGGAUCCAAGCGUUAUCCGGAAUCAUUGGGUUUAAAGGGUCCGUAGGCGGUUUUAUAAGUCAGUGGUGAAAUCCGGUAGCUCAACUAUCGAACUGCCAUUGAUACUGUAGAACUUGAAUUGCUGUGAAGUAACUAGAAUAUGUAGUGUA
RNAcentral lists this ribosomal RNA (668 nucleotides) under Flavobacterium sp. C_OB2.61. Its description in RNAcentral is "bacterial SSU rRNA". It matches the Rfam family "Bacterial small subunit ribosomal RNA", at positions 8 to 677 of the family's 1533-position model. The record is from RNAcentral. Lineage: Bacteria; Pseudomonadati; Bacteroidota; Flavobacteriia; Flavobacteriales; Flavobacteriaceae.